CAAGCGUUGUUCGGAAUUACUGGGCGUAAAGGGCGCGUAGGCGGCCUGCUAAGUCGAACGUGAAAUCCCUGGGCUCAACCCAGGAACUGCGUCCGAUACUGGUUGGCUUGAAUCCGGGAGAGGGACGUGGAAUUCCAGGUGUAGCGGUGAAAUGCGUAGAUAUCUGGAGGAAUACCGGUGGCGAAGGCGGCAUCCUGGACCAUGACUGACGCUGAGGCGCGAAAGCUAGGGGAGCAAACGGG
Molecule: ribosomal RNA, 242 nt
Filed under: uncultured bacterium
Lineage: Bacteria
Description: partial 16S ribosomal RNA
Rfam family: Bacterial small subunit ribosomal RNA
Source: RNAcentral